UACGUAGGGUGCAAGCGUUGUCCGGAAUUAUUGGGCGUAAAGAGCUCGUAGGCGGUUUGUUGCGUCGGCUGUGAAAACCUGAGGCUCAACCUCAGGCCUGCAGUCGAUACGAGCAGACUAGAGUGUUGCAGGGGAGACUGGAAUUCCUGGUGUAGCGGUGGAAUGCGCAGAUAUCAGGAGGAACACCGGUGGCGAAGGCGGGUCUCUGGGCAGUAACUGACGCUGAGGAGCGAAAGCGUGGGGAGCGAACAGG
Molecule: ribosomal RNA, 253 nt
Filed under: uncultured bacterium
Lineage: Bacteria
Description: partial 16S ribosomal RNA
Rfam family: Bacterial small subunit ribosomal RNA
Source: RNAcentral